UGUAAUUGUAUUGCAAUUGUCACUAAUUAUUAUGUUUUUAUAGUGCAGUCAUGCCAAUUUCCAUCAGUACUGGUAUCAAAACCUGUAAAAUGGACUAUACUUUACAGCCAUAUAUUACUAAAUACAUAUCAAAACAUGUAUCAUUAAUUCAUUUGCGCUAACCUUAUAAGCCUCUCGCAAAAAAAGUUUUAGGGGGGGGGGGUACUUGAAAACUUGAAAAUUGGGCUAUUAAUUUUUUUAAUACUGAACCCCAGGCACAAGCAAAAUGCCAAUUGGAACUCUGUACAGUAACUUGUUUAAACCAUCAUUAAACCACCAACUUGUUUAAACCACCAACAUUCAUGGGUGGAUUUACUGGGGGGGUUAGGGGGGUUAACCCCCCCCCCCUACACCCCCUAGAAUCUCUCUAACCCCUCUAAUAAAGUGUUCAACCCCACCAAAAUUUCACUUCACCCCUCCUAUUUUGUGUGAAAGGCUUUAACCCAAAUGCCUAACCCCUGCCGAAGCUCACUGAGUAGUGCCACUUGCACCCCACCAGAAAUAUUUCUACCCCUCCUUUUAAAUAAAUGAAAAUCCGCCCUUGCCAACACUCUCCCCUUGACAAGUAAAAUCAUAAAAUGGCCUAUAGUUGCAUUUUCCGUAGCUGCUCAUGUUAUGUUUGAAUAAAUGCAUGAAAUUUCCAUCUACAAGAACCCUUCAAUAUCCGGUCUAUAUGAUCCACUUCAGCAAACAUGAGAGAAAAGUUGUUUAUAAGCUUGUAGCAAGCAGUAAAAUUCACUGUUUCCACAACCAUUGAUUACCAGCUGGAGUCUGUGUACAUUUGUUAAGAAAUUAUCAGUUACAUGAUGUGCAAAAAUCCUAUAACCAAUCUGGUGUUGCUGACAUUCCACUGUGGAAU
Non-coding RNA from Paramuricea clavata, 898 nucleotides. Lineage: Eukaryota; Metazoa; Cnidaria; Anthozoa; Malacalcyonacea; Plexauridae. The record is from the annotation of a GenBank genome assembly.